This 207-nucleotide ribosomal RNA is filed under the name uncultured Smithella sp. Its description in RNAcentral is "partial 16S ribosomal RNA". It matches the Rfam family "Bacterial small subunit ribosomal RNA", at positions 568 to 774 of the family's 1533-position model. The record is from RNAcentral. Lineage: Bacteria; Pseudomonadati; Thermodesulfobacteriota; Syntrophia; Syntrophales; Smithellaceae.
CGUGUAGGCGGCUGGAUAAGUCAGAUGUGAAAGCCCUGGGCUUAACCCAGGAAGUGCAUUUGAAACUGUUCAGCUUGAGUAGGGGAGAGGAAAGUGGAAUUCCUGGUGUAGAGGUGAAAUUCGUAGAUAUCAGGAGGAACACCGGUGGCGAAGGCGACUUUCUGGCCCUAUACUGACGCUGAGACGCGAGAGCGUGGGUAGCAAACA